This 253-nucleotide ribosomal RNA is filed under the name uncultured bacterium. RNAcentral's name for it is "partial 16S ribosomal RNA". It matches the Rfam family "Bacterial small subunit ribosomal RNA", at positions 524 to 776 of the family's 1533-position model. The record is from RNAcentral.
UACGGGGGGGGCAAGCGUUGUUCGGAAUUACUGGGCGUAAAGGGUGCGUAGGCGGCUUUCUAAGUUGGAUGUGAAAACUAUGGGCUCAACCCAUAGCCUGCAUCCAAAACUGGAGAGCUUGGGUUCUGGAGGGGAAAGCGGAAUUCCUGGUGUAGCGGUGAAAUGCGUAGAUAUCAGGAGGAACACCGGUGGCGAAGGCGGCUACCUGGCCUGUUCUUGACGCUGAGGCGCGAAAGCUAGGGGAGCAAACGGG